UUUCAAACGACGCAAUGAACAACGCAUAAUUCCUUAUUAAACUUAGUAACAAUUUAAGGAAGCAAGCAAAAAGAAAAUAAAAUAAAGGUGAAAGAAGAAAAGAAAAGAACAAAAUAAGAAAAAGGAAAAAACAUUAAAAAACAUGGUUUUUAAAACAACAAAAACUAAUAGGCUUUUACCAAGCAGCAUAAAAUAUCUCAUUACCACAUUCGCAGAAAUUUGAACACAGAAC
Molecule: long non-coding RNA, 232 nt
Filed under: Gossypium raimondii (Peruvian cotton)
Lineage: Eukaryota; Viridiplantae; Streptophyta; Magnoliopsida; Malvales; Malvaceae
Description: long non-coding RNA (GRAI_LNC002999)
Source: RNAcentral